CCAGCUGUUAGUUAACUAUUAAUGUUUCUGUUAAUUUGAUGACAUGAUAAUAUUUCUCGAAUAAUUUUACCUUUUAUUAAUUUUAAAAAUUACCAAAUUAUAUACAAUAUAAUUUUUAAAAUUUUUUCUCUUCCAUUCAAAAAAAAUUCUCUUUACCCUACCUCUCAUCAACCGACCACCUUGCCACCAAAUCUGAUGCCAGAUUUGGCUCUCCUCCAAGGGAACACUAGAUUCGCGCUCCCUUGGGGAGCAAGGGAGCACCAGAUCAUGUCCCCCAAGGAGUGCGAGAUAUGAGGUGUGUGACUAGAUCGAACUCCCUUGAAAAGAUCUAGUUGGAUUUGGCAUUCGAUAGUCAGAUCUGGCCGUGAGAUGGUUGGUUAGUGUAAGGAAGUGUCGCCAUUGACCUGAGAGAAAGGAAAAUAAUGAAAAGAUUGGAGAAAGAAGAAUGAUACAUUUUACAUUUACCCAUUAACGCCGCUUACAUGUUUGGAACGGAUUGUUUAUUUCAAAUACUAAUAAACUCACGUGAAAUUAUGAUUAAAACUUAGAGAGAUCAAAAUGUUUAACUAUAUAUAUGUAUGUCAUACUAGGGUGUUUACAAAAAAUUUAGAACCCUAAAUAAGAAACCUUUUGGUUAACUAGUUUAAUAUGAGAAUGGGAUGAAAUGUUACCAUGACAGUAAGUAUUUGGAAUUACAUUUUUCACAAUAAGAAAUUAUAGAGGAUGGGGCGGGAAGGAUUGUUUGGGUUGGAACCCAAAUCCAGAUGCCUUAGAAAAGAUCUAAGAAGCUGGAAGUGCGGUGAGAGCCUCACGGCGCACAGGUGAAUUGGGCCAAAGGCCCUUCCGCUUAAAUCCUAAAGUAAAUACCGAGAAACUUCGGCUUUUUUCUACAGGCUCAAAUCAAUCACUGGACUUGUUUCAACAUUUCAUGUUGCUCCUUAGGGAAACUCCCUGGGGGUUUCAGUUCUAAUUUCUAGCUUCAACUCUCCAAUCAUUCUUUGAAGAAAGAUUAGAGAAAUGGAGAAGGAUAUUUUCGUGAUAUUGAAAACUAAUGGUACUACUCUCUUUAUUUUUUUUUCCAAAAAAGAAAUAUUUGAAAUGGAAACCAAAAGCAAGUCGUCGAUCCAGCCCAAACCAAUGUGAGAAACCAAAAAGGCGAAGGUCAGAAAAAUUCCAGAGAGCAAAAGCGCACACACAGACACAGAGCCCACCGCACACUCAGUAUAAAUACUCACACAAAAAGAUUUUUUAAAAAGCAACAUCUGUAAUAAAAUCGAGUAUAAGGAGAAGAAAAAAACGACGAUGAGAAUAUAAGGAACCCCAUCAAAACGGCAAAACAGAUCAAAAUAAAAAUAAAAAUAAAAAUAAAAACCCUAGUUUUUCAAAACAAAUGAUAUUGAUGAUGAUGACGAUGAUGACAUGAGCGUACCAUGGCUAGGG
Molecule: long non-coding RNA, 1440 nt
Filed under: Theobroma cacao (cacao)
Lineage: Eukaryota; Viridiplantae; Streptophyta; Magnoliopsida; Malvales; Malvaceae
Description: long non-coding RNA (TCAC_LNC005556)
Source: RNAcentral